AUGGCUGUCGUCAGCUCGUGUCGUGAGAUGUUGGGUUAAGUCCGUAACGAGCGCAACCCUGUCCUUAGUUACCAGCACGUUAUGGUGGGCACUCUAAGGAGACUGCCGGUGCAAACCGGAGGAAGGUGGGGGAUGACGUCAAGUCAUCAUGGCCCUUACGGCCUGGGCUACACACGUGCUACAAUGGUCGGUACAAAGGGUUGCCAAGCCGCGAGGUGGAGCUAAUCCCAUAAAACCGAUCGUAGUCCGGAUCGCAGUCUGCAACUCGACUGCGUGAAGUCGGAAUCGCUAGUAAUCGUGAAUCAGAAUGUCACGGUGAAUACGUUCCCGGGCCUU
RNAcentral lists this ribosomal RNA (336 nucleotides) under uncultured Pseudomonas sp. RNAcentral's name for it is "bacterial SSU rRNA". It matches the Rfam family "Bacterial small subunit ribosomal RNA", at positions 1045 to 1382 of the family's 1533-position model. Lineage: Bacteria; Pseudomonadati; Pseudomonadota; Gammaproteobacteria; Pseudomonadales; Pseudomonadaceae. The record is from RNAcentral.